RNAcentral lists this transfer RNA (67 nucleotides) under Agama bottegi. Its description in RNAcentral is "tRNA-His". Lineage: Eukaryota; Metazoa; Chordata; Lepidosauria; Squamata; Agamidae. The record is from RNAcentral.
UUCAGCCCGGAUAGUUAAUAAAACACUUAGGUCGUGACCCUAACAACUAGAGCUUCUCUUCCGGGCU